RNAcentral lists this ribosomal RNA (1550 nucleotides) under Klebsiella pneumoniae subsp. pneumoniae. Its description in RNAcentral is "bacterial SSU rRNA". It matches the Rfam family "Bacterial small subunit ribosomal RNA". The record is from RNAcentral. Lineage: Bacteria; Pseudomonadati; Pseudomonadota; Gammaproteobacteria; Enterobacterales; Enterobacteriaceae.
AAAUUGAAGAGUUUGAUCAUGGCUCAGAUUGAACGCUGGCGGCAGGCCUAACACAUGCAAGUCGAGCGGUAGCACAGAGAGCUUGCUCUCGGGUGACGAGCGGCGGACGGGUGAGUAAUGUCUGGGAAACUGCCUGAUGGAGGGGGAUAACUACUGGAAACGGUAGCUAAUACCGCAUAAUGUCGCAAGACCAAAGUGGGGGACCUUCGGGCCUCAUGCCAUCAGAUGUGCCCAGAUGGGAUUAGCUAGUAGGUGGGGUAACGGCUCACCUAGGCGACGAUCCCUAGCUGGUCUGAGAGGAUGACCAGCCACACUGGAACUGAGACACGGUCCAGACUCCUACGGGAGGCAGCAGUGGGGAAUAUUGCACAAUGGGCGCAAGCCUGAUGCAGCCAUGCCGCGUGUGUGAAGAAGGCCUUCGGGUUGUAAAGCACUUUCAGCGGGGAGGAAGGCGGUGAGAUUAAUAACCUCAUCGAUUGACGUUACCCGCAGAAGAAGCACCGGCUAACUCCGUGCCAGCAGCCGCGGUAAUACGGAGGGUGCAAGCGUUAAUCGGAAUUACUGGGCGUAAAGCGCACGCAGGCGGUCUGUCAAGUCGGAUGUGAAAUCCCCGGGCUCAACCUGGGAACUGCAUUCGAAACUGGCAGGCUAGAGUCUUGUAGAGGGGGGUAGAAUUCCAGGUGUAGCGGUGAAAUGCGUAGAGAUCUGGAGGAAUACCGGUGGCGAAGGCGGCCCCCUGGACAAAGACUGACGCUCAGGUGCGAAAGCGUGGGGAGCAAACAGGAUUAGAUACCCUGGUAGUCCACGCCGUAAACGAUGUCGAUUUGGAGGUUGUGCCCUUGAGGCGUGGCUUCCGGAGCUAACGCGUUAAAUCGACCGCCUGGGGAGUACGGCCGCAAGGUUAAAACUCAAAUGAAUUGACGGGGGCCCGCACAAGCGGUGGAGCAUGUGGUUUAAUUCGAUGCAACGCGAAGAACCUUACCUGGUCUUGACAUCCACAGAACUUUCCAGAGAUGGAUUGGUGCCUUCGGGAACUGUGAGACAGGUGCUGCAUGGCUGUCGUCAGCUCGUGUUGUGAAAUGUUGGGUUAAGUCCCGCAACGAGCGCAACCCUUAUCCUUUGUUGCCAGCGGUUAGGCCGGGAACUCAAAGGAGACUGCCAGUGAUAAACUGGAGGAAGGUGGGGAUGACGUCAAGUCAUCAUGGCCCUUACGACCAGGGCUACACACGUGCUACAAUGGCAUAUACAAAGAGAAGCGACCUCGCGAGAGCAAGCGGACCUCAUAAAGUAUGUCGUAGUCCGGAUUGGAGUCUGCAACUCGACUCCAUGAAGUCGGAAUCGCUAGUAAUCGUAGAUCAGAAUGCUACGGUGAAUACGUUCCCGGGCCUUGUACACACCGCCCGUCACACCAUGGGAGUGGGUUGCAAAAGAAGUAGGUAGCUUAACCUUCGGGAGGGCGCUUACCACUUUGUGAUUCAUGACUGGGGUGAAGUCGUAACAAGGUAACCGUAGGGGAACCUGCGGUUGGAUCACCUCCUUACCUUAAAGAA